RNAcentral lists this ribosomal RNA (446 nucleotides) under uncultured bacterium. RNAcentral describes it as "partial 16S ribosomal RNA". It matches the Rfam family "Bacterial small subunit ribosomal RNA", at positions 338 to 795 of the family's 1533-position model. The record is from RNAcentral.
CCUACGGGAGGCAGCAGUCGAGAAUCAUUCACAAUGGGGGAAACCCUGAUGGUGCGACGCCGCGUGGGGGAAUGAAGGUCUUCGGAUUGUAAACCCCUGUCAUGUGGGAGCAAAUUAAAAAGAUAGUACCACAAGAGGAAGAGACGGCUAACUCUGUGCCAGCAGCCGCGGUAAUACAGAGGUCUCAAGCGUUGUUCGGAAGCACUGGGCGUAAAGCGUGCGUAGGCUGUUUCGUAAGUCGCGUGUGAAAGGCGCGGGCUCAACCCGCGGACGGCACAUGAUACUGCGAGGCUAGAGUAAUGGAGGGGGAAGCGGAAUUCUGGGUGUAGCAGUGAAAUGCGGAGAUAUCGAGAGGAACACUGGUGGCGAAGGCGGGUUCCUGGACAUUAACUGACGCUGAGGCACGAAGGCCAGGGGAGCGAAAGGGAUUAGAUACCCCGGUAGUC